Molecule: long non-coding RNA, 844 nt
Organism: Myotis myotis
Lineage: Eukaryota; Metazoa; Chordata; Mammalia; Chiroptera; Vespertilionidae
Exons: 4
Source: RefSeq, a predicted model, not a curated record
GACAGGGAACCCGCGGUUCGCAGCUGGAAAGACUAGAUGCCCAGCGGCUUCAGCCACCUACUCAGCCCCAGCGUCCCUCAGCCAGGGCACUUAAGAGCGAAUGGUCGGCCCUUCUCCUCCGCAACCAGAGGGCAGAGCGCAAACCGCCCCCCUCAGGGCCCAGCAGACCCAGUUACAGCGGACCCAGUUACAGCGGACCCAGUUACAGCGGACCCAGUUACAGCGGAACCGCAUGCUGCACCGUCUCCCAUCUGAACAAUUCGCUUCUCCACCGGAAAACCCUUCAUGCAGGAACCUGUAUGAUGAGUCAAAGUCACUCAGGCGAACGGGCCGCGGAGUCAGCUUCCCUGUUACCGCCGCAGGGGAUUGUCCGCGUUUAUUACAGAUUAAACAGUAAAGCGACGCGGGCUGUAUAUAAGGAAGGUCGGAGCAGGGCGUCCCCUGGGGGCUGCAGGGCGAAUUCAAUGCACGACCUUCUGCUGGGAAAGCAUGAUUCCCGGUACAGGCCUUAGACAGGGCUGAAUGGUGACCCAGAAAGACGUGUCCCCAGCCUACCCGCCCUGUGAAGGGGCCUCAUUUGGAAAUGGGGUCUUUGCGGCAGAGGCCCCACCGGGUGAGAGCGCGCCCCAAACCAGUGACGGCCGAGUGUCCCUGUGAGGACUGCUCAGAGUGACGCCUGGAGGCGGCCAGCAGACAUUUGGGGCUCGAGUAAAGGGGUGCAGACGCCGCCCGGAAGCUGAGCUGUGCAUGCAGAUGGGGCCCGGCGGCCUCCCCCACCCUGCUGUCGCCCCGGCCCUCCAGGCCCGAGGCCCCCACCGGGAACAGCCCAGGGAGACACUUACAU